UUUCCCCUCUCGCACUCUUUCCAUUCCCCCACCCGCCCCCGGCCAAACCGACCCGUUCCCCCCUCUCCUCCGCGUUAUCCCAGGUGCAACCGGAUGACAGAAUCAAAGCCGGUUCCGAUUUACCCCCGUUGUCCUCCUGGGAGAGCUCGGAAGGCUCAGGGACGGCUCGAGGUGGGGCGAUGCGCUCCCGCUCCCCAUGUGCUCGGCGAGGUGGCUGCCUCCCACCCGCCCUCCGAGCUGCCUUCCCCUUAAUUGGCUCUAUCUUGAUGUGCACUUGUUUUGUUUUGCCUGUUUUAACACUGGGGACGAGAUAGGCAGAAAAAGGAGCGUUUGACUCGCCGCCUGGACUCUCACAGUUCUUCGGUAGCUUUUCUGAUCCAUCAUGUCAGCCUGGCAGCUGUGCCUCUGCGCUCUGCCUGCUGCCCACCGCCAGCCAGAUUUCAGCCUCCUACGUGUGGCAUGCCCUCUUCCCUGGCUGUCCCCUCACCGGAGAGCUCAUUUUGCCUGCGCCUCUAUUUAAUGGAUUUCCUGUAACUGGAAGAACUGCUUUCUCUCAGGGGUCUUCUUAGCCCACGGCACCAGCUCCACAAGCACAGAGGAGUGUGUGUUCCCAGAUGUACCCAGGCCCACUCUGUUCUCCAGCCUCGUUACAUGGGUUUCUGUCUCUCCUCAGCAUCCCCUUGAAUGGCAUCUACUGCACAUAACUUUUCGGACCACAAAGCUGAAACACUUCCUGUGACUCAAAUGGCUCCAGCACAGCUAUUUCCUAGAAGACAUCCUCCCUGAUUUCUUGUGGUGCCUGUUAGAUUGCUGAAGUUGCAGUGCAGAGAUAAACCAGAUACCAGAAUAGAGGAACGUUUCUCAGAAGGACCAGUGAGACAUCUCCUGACCUCUGUCUCCAUCUGAGGAUAUAUCUGGAGUAGAGCAGAGAAGCAGAGGCACCACAGACUACAGAUACCCAUGGGGAAUGUUGUUCUGCCUCAAGGUUCAGCUCUACAAUAUGGCCAUGGACCGUAUAUACCCAUAGGUUCCUGUGAGUGGGUGAAGUGGGUGAGGGUUUAGACAGAGGCUGGGAUGAGUCUGAAGGGAUGCUGAUCUGGGUGGUGGGGGACUGGGACUCCAUGGCAUACUGUCACAAAUCAAAAGAUAAGUCUAGUUACAGCCAUUCAGCCUUUGAUUUUCUCGCCUUCCUCCUAAACUAUUUUCCCAAGAACUUAUUUGUCUCAGUCUGCGUUUUCCUUAUCUGCAGACAGGGCUAUGAGGCAUACCAUACUACAAUGAAUAUGGGUACUCACUCCAUGCUGGGCUGUGGGAGAAAGUUUUGCACAGCUCUAGUAAAACAGGUGAACAGCUACAGGUUUGAAAAGCCUCCUAGCCUUCCCUGAACCUCAAAAGGCCCAGUGUAGGAUUCCUCACCCAUCCUGAUUAUCCAUAAGUAGAUCAGACAGCAUCUCAUUUCCUAGACACAAACAUUCAGCGGUGUUCUGCAGUUGCUUCAAGAGUAAAGAAAAUUCCUCCUGGCUCCUACUGAGCAGUCACUGGCAUUGGUCAACCAUAGCACACCUUGUCUUUGCCAGAAGCCAGUAUCAGACAAUAUGAAAGGGAACUGCCCCCUCCUUCCUGUGUAUGUAAAUGUAUAACAGUUUACCACGGAAGAUGAUGCCUUUCUGACUCCAUCUACUGACUAGCUUUUACCAAGAACUACUGACACUAUUACAUAAUACUUGUUAGUAAAACUCUCACAGAUUUUUUCAAGGCCAGGAACAACCAUUAUUAUCAUCCAGUCUGAUCUUCUGCAUAAUAUAUGCUACUGAAUUUAACCCAAUCUGAACUUGGUGUGUAGAUUUGCUUUUAUGUCUCAAAAUGCCUCCUCAUUUACAAAUAUGAUACUGUUUCACCGAGUACUAUCUGUGCAGCAGCAAGUUCCAUUAAUUAACUGUACAUUGUUUGGAAAAGCAAUACCUCUUAUCCGUUUGAAAUUCGAUACCUCUUCGUUUCACCUUGCAGGAUAGGAAAGGGUUUUUAUUCCUUUGCUGCUAAUUAGGUUGGAGGAUCAUGAGGACAAAAUGUUAUUUAUAUUAUAGUCGUGCUUAAGGAGAGCUCUGAUGAAGCCUGGGGAUCCCACUGCACAAAGUGAGGGAGACCGUGCAAUUCCUUCAGGACUGAGACUAUUUGAAUGGACGAAUGGCAUAUUUUCAAAGGAGCUGAACGAUUUCACCAAAACGAAUGUCAGACAAGUCAAUGGAUUCAUACUUCUCAAUCACCUAUACAUUUCUAAAAAAUCAAUCCAAAGUUUGAAGGAAAGAAAGGCAUGGAAAAACAAAGUCCCUGAAGCCAAGAUCAAGAAAUAAGUUUGGUAUGUAGUCAGUGAAAAGAAAAACGUGUUGCUAAUAUGCAGCUCUGUGUCCACUGUCCAUAGGUCACUUUGGCUUCCAGAGGCUCAUGGUCUUAAAGUCCUCCCUUUAAGAGAGCAGGGUGCACUGGGCAAAGUACAAUGUCUGCUGCAUGCACAGUCCCCAGUUCUUUUGCCCUGGGGCCAAGGACAGCUACAUUAUCUCAGGCAACAGCGGUUAUCCAAGUUUAUGGAAAGGGUUCACGUAAGAUUUGCAGUCCCAUGAGGGUCAGUCUGCCUUGAGAGAUAGGCUGGGGUUUGUGUUCUCUCUCUCUUCUCAAGGAAAUUCCCCAUCCUUUUGACUUCUAUCUUUUUUUAUUGCCAUUCUCUGGACUUCUUCUAUUUCUACUUUCUUUUUUACAGGGAUGAGGUGACCAAAUUUGAAGACAGUAUUCAAAGUGAGGAUGUGCCACUGAUUUAUAUAAUGGCAUUAUAAUAUUUUCCAUAUUAUUCUCUAAAACUCUUUUCUUCAUACAAACCCCUUAAGAUUCUUUUUAAUUCUUUGAACUAUAGUGCCUUUUAACAUCUGUAGUUUACUCUGAUCAGAUUUUGACAAAGGAAUAAAAGGCUCCAUUUUUCACAUAGAAUUUUAUUUAUUGUUUGAACUUUAGAGGAGAAAUUGGUUAACUUACAAUUUAAAAUUCUUGGCAAUGUAGACCAUUGGACAAGGAUUUCAUUAUCAGCCCUUCUGUACUUUCUGUAGAAAUGCUUAAAGUUGGUGGACAGAGUCUUGGCUAAAAAGACUUUACUUUCGUACUAUAAACAUAGCCAAAGACUUAGUUUGGAGCUGCUAGCAUCCCCAAAGAUGUCAGAGAUAUCAUUGUUCUGUACCCCCUUCCUGAUGCAGUGUGCUGGGGCCAUGCAUUGACAUGUCAUCCAGCCAGAGUUGUGCGUGUGUGCAAGCGGUACCCAAAUGCCGUGAUCUUCUCUUUACCUUACCACGUACUUCCACAGUAGGUCAGGAAAAGACCCCUCUGAAAAUGAGGUGCUUGAUGACUGCAGAGGGUGAGAAUCUUGCUCUCAUGUCACAGCUGGGCGUGAUGCCUUCAUCAGGGUAUUAGAAAAGGCUCGAGGAAAACAGUUACAUCCAUUCUAUUGCUUAAGACACUUCCUGCAGCUACUGACUCGUCUUAGAGUUACCAAUCCAAAUGCUGACCCUGCCUGACCCUACUUAUCUUUUAAAAGCUGACAAGAUCACAGCCUGAAGCAGUAUAGCCACAGGCUCAAUACUGGCUACCAAAAUGUCUGUUUAGUAUUUUCAAAAACGCUGCUCUUAAGAUUUACAAUACAAGCUGCUGGAUGUAUGGACAACACUGAAACACAACCCUGACCCCUGAACAUUCAGCCCUACUUACACAGAAAUUUGUGCCUCUCGAGGGGCCAGCACUGAGUUGCUGCAAAACAGUUAUUCCCUACCUGCAAGUGAGCUGGAAUUAAAGCAUCAUAGGGUUGUAUGCAUUCAGAUACUGGGUAAAAAUAUUUGAAAACUACAGCCUUGAUUUCAGAAUUCAUUGACAACUUCUUUCAUUAGCUGCAUUACUGCUUUAACAGUAGAAAGAGUUCCGCCCUUUUUGUGUAAUAUCUUUUUUGGUUUAGUAUAGAAAAUCAUCCUAAUUCUUCUAUGACCAAAGCAGUUUUUCAUCAGAAGUUGUUUUUAGAUUAACUGUAAGUUUCUUCCCUAGCAGUAAAAGAAGCUCAUAUUUUUCUGAAUAUUUCUAAGGUUAAAUGGAUAAACACAGCUUUAAAUACUCAUGAAACACUAAGGGACCGAUCUAGUUGAGUUGUUUGUGCAUUCAUACAUGAUAUAAAUUCAUGGUUCUUGCAGGUUUUUUUUUUUUUUUUUUUAACAGCAAAGAUAUGGAAAAGACAAUUGAGGUCUUAUUGCUCCUGUUGGAAACUUCUGCCGACUACAGCAAGAGUUGGACUGGGCCCAGAGAAACCAGAUACAUACAAGUUGCAAUGAGUUGGCCACACAAGCAAGGAAAAUCACAGAUAACGGAUGCACACAAAUUAGUAAUGUACCUUUUAGGUCAUCCAGUACAGCUUGCUGACACAUUGAGAUUGUCUCCUAUGGCAUAUUUUUGGUUGCUUUGGAUGACUGGAUUAAAUGUCCUAAGUAAUGCCAUUUACUUAAGGAGAGAUUGUGCUGCCCAGUAUAUCCUGUUAGAAGUCUUUUUUUCCUUUCUUAACAUCAUCAUAUUUCUCCCAGUUUUGUUCCUUUGCAAACCUCCUUAUUUCCCUUCUGCGAUGCUAUUUUUUCUCCAGUGUCUUUAGACUAAUGUGAUGUUCCAUUUAGUUAACAUUAAGUCAGUUCAUACCUAUUUAGAUCAUUUAAUCUUUUCUGAUAAAUCAGUCCUUUCAGUCUCCUGGUUAUUUUCUCAUCUCCUCUUGUCCCACUCCUGUCUGUCAGUAGCUUUUUUAGCUAUGAUAUUUUAAAGAUGUGGUGCAUUUAUCUGAACUAACGGCAGGUUGGGCACAGACUUGAGCACCCUCAAUACCUUCUCACUGAAAACCACUCAAGGGAAGGCCACUGGCACUCUGUGCAAACAAGCAGGCAGAGCAUUCUGUUCAAACCAUUUCCUUGGUAUCACCUGUUUUACUGAUCAUCAACAAAAAACAUUUAAACAUUUAGCCUAGUGAUUCAAAAACCAAACAUGGGUCACUAUAGAUUAAUUAUAUUUUUUCAUAAUGCUAGGAAAUAUAAUGGCAGAGAGGAAAAUACAUUUGUUGUUGAUAUUUUCAAACUCUUGGUCGUGGAUAUCACAAUCUAAAAUUAUGGAAGAUGUUGUCUUGUCUAGUAACUAUAUUUGGGUGCCACUGGAGUACACUGUAGAAAGUAAUUAUAUAUGUAGUCACAAGCGUAGCUGUUCACGUCAGGCAAUAAAUUCUGAUCAACAAACAACACUCCUUUAGUGCUAAAUGAAAUCUUGGCUGUAAUUGACUGUCUUUACCUUUGUGUUCUGUUGGAUUGGAGGAAUAUCAUUUUAAUCUGCUCUCUUUAAAUUUUCAUUAAGGAACGUUUCAGCUACCUGCAGCCUCGUCUGAUGAUGUUUAAUGAUAUAAGCUAGCACGUUCUUCCGUGCACCGGCAGGGGCUUCUUUAAAUUGGUCAACCGUACAGAACAUUGUUUUCGUGUUUAAUGUACUUGGAAUCAACCUUUUAAAAUAAUGAUGUCUCUACAGACAGUUUAUAUACGUAGCACACACACAUAUGUGCAUGUGUAUGUAUGCAUAUAUACGCGUAAGUGCACACAUACAUAGAGAAACACUGAUCCUAUUCACCUUCUUGAAAACAUUUCAGCUAGUAUUAGCAUAAAUGUGCUGUUAAGUUGGCAGUGUUAUACAUUUUUGUUGGAGUUUACUUCUGUAACCUAAAAUCAAGCAGAUAAGCUGUGAAACUCAUGCAGCUGAUGACAUAACGCUGGGAUCUCAUGAUGCUGAAUCUCAUAUUUCUAGGCAUAAAGGAUGGAUGUUCCUUUCUGGAAUUAUUAUGCUGCCUAUUGCAAUAUAUGUUUUCUUGUUUUCAUGUGGGCACUGAGAUGUUCAAA
This 5939-nucleotide long non-coding RNA is filed under the name Gallus gallus (chicken). Its description in RNAcentral is "long non-coding RNA NONGGAT001119". The record is from RNAcentral. Lineage: Eukaryota; Metazoa; Chordata; Aves; Galliformes; Phasianidae.